RNAcentral lists this ribosomal RNA (515 nucleotides) under uncultured bacterium. Its description in RNAcentral is "bacterial SSU rRNA". It matches the Rfam family "Bacterial small subunit ribosomal RNA", at positions 29 to 523 of the family's 1533-position model. The record is from RNAcentral.
AACGAACGCUGGCGGCGUGCCUAACACAUGCAAGUCGCGCGAGAAAAGGGGGCAACUCCUGAGUAAAGCGGCGAACGGGUGAGUAACACGUAGGUGAUCUACCCUCGAGUCCAGGAUAACCUACCGAAAGGUGGGCUAAUACCGGAUAUGACCACGGGAAUCUCGGUUCCUGCGGUGAAAGGUGGCCUCUGCUUGCAAGCUACCGCUCGGAGAUGAGCCUGCGCGCCAUUAGCUAGUUGGUGGGGUAACGGCCCACCAAGGCUAUGAUGGCUAGCUGGUCUGAGAGGAUGUCCGGCCACACUGGGACUGAGAUACGGCCCAGACUCCUACGGGAGGCAGCAGUAGGGAAUAUUGCGCAAUGGCCGCAAGGCUGACGCAGCAACACGCGUGGGGAUGAAGGUUUUCGGAUCGUAAACCCCUGUCGAGAGGAAGAAGGUCGAAACGCGAAUACCGUUUUGGCUUGACGGUACCUUUAGAGGAAGUUCCGGCUAACUUCGUGCCAGCCGCCGCGGUAA